GUAGGGGGCAAGCGUUGUUCGGAAUUACUGGGCGUAAAGGGCAUGUAGGCGGCCUUGUAAGCUUGGCGUGAAAGUCCAUGGCUCAACCAUGGGAUUGCGUUGAGAACUGCGAGGCUUGAGUGACGGAGAGGGAGCUAGAAUUCCUGGUGUAGGGGUGGAAUCUGUAGAGAUCAGGAAGAAUACCAAUGGCGAAGGCAAGCUCCUGGCCGAUGACUGACGCUGAGGUGCGAAAGUGUGGGGAUCAAAC
RNAcentral lists this ribosomal RNA (247 nucleotides) under uncultured Spirochaetaceae bacterium. RNAcentral describes it as "partial 16S ribosomal RNA". It matches the Rfam family "Bacterial small subunit ribosomal RNA", at positions 527 to 773 of the family's 1533-position model. The record is from RNAcentral. Lineage: Bacteria; Pseudomonadati; Spirochaetota; Spirochaetia; Spirochaetales; Spirochaetaceae.